GCCCCUAUAGACUAGUGGUAUGUUGCCUAGAUAUAUUUAACAUAUGUUUCGCACUUCUGUCUGGGAGUUGAGGGUUCGACUCCCUCUCGGGGCC
This is a non-coding RNA of Mycena haematopus, 94 nucleotides long. Lineage: Eukaryota; Fungi; Basidiomycota; Agaricomycetes; Agaricales; Mycenaceae. The record is from the annotation of a GenBank genome assembly.